This 500-nucleotide ribosomal RNA is filed under the name uncultured Glomeromycotina. RNAcentral's name for it is "partial small subunit ribosomal RNA". It matches the Rfam family "Eukaryotic small subunit ribosomal RNA", at positions 591 to 1092 of the family's 1831-position model. The record is from RNAcentral. Lineage: Eukaryota; Fungi; Glomeromycota.
CCAAUAGCGUAUAUUAAAGUUGUUGCAGUUAAAAAGCUCGUAGUUGAAUUUCGGGAUCAAUAUAUCGGUCGUGCCUCCGGUAUGCACUGGUAUUAUUGAUUUCUACCUUCUGACGAACUGUGAUGUCAUUAAUUUGGUGUCAUGGGGAAUCAGGACUGUUACUUUGAAAAAAUUAGAGUGUUUAAAGCAGGCACACGCUUGAAUACAUUAGUAUGGAAUAAUGAAAUAGGACGUUUGACCCUAUUUUGUUGGUUUCUAGGAUCGACGUAAUGAUUAAUAGGGAUAGUUGGGGGCAUUAGUAUUCAAUUGUCAGAGGUGAAAUUCUUGGAUUUAUUGAAGACUAACUACUGCGAAAGCAUUUGCCAAGGAUGUUUUCAUUAAUCAAGAACGAAAGUUAGGGGAUCGAAGACGAUCAGAUACCGUCGUAGUCUUAACCAUAAACUAUGCCGACUAGGGAUCGGAUGAUGUUAAUUUUUUAAUGACUCAUUCGGCGCCUUACG